RNAcentral lists this long non-coding RNA (393 nucleotides) under Sorghum bicolor (sorghum). Its description in RNAcentral is "long non-coding RNA (SBIC_LNC007944)". The record is from RNAcentral. Lineage: Eukaryota; Viridiplantae; Streptophyta; Magnoliopsida; Poales; Poaceae.
GCUGGAUGUGGCUAAGUCCAUGGAUGGUGAUGUAUCUAUGCCAAUGGCCAGCAUUAAUUUCUGCUUUUGGUGGCGCUGGAGGAUCUGCCGAUGACGCGGGAGGAAGACUUGAAGAUUGCCGAUUGGUGUAUGGUGGCAUCCCAGGCUGUUACAGGAAGAUAGUUUUAUGCUUUUUUUUCUUAGUCAUUUAAAAUCGUUUUGUAUAUGGAUUCUAUUUAAUUUGGAAUUUGAGUUCUAGUCGUGUCUGGUUGUAGCUCUUUUGAGCAGGGUAUAAAUGUAGACCCUAGGGCCUUGUAAUCGAGACAUCUAUCAAUCAAUCAAACACAAGUUUUUACUCAUAUUACAGCAUCUACUUUUUCGACGACUUCGUCAUACCUUUUCUUUUUUAUUACG